This 341-nucleotide unclassified non-coding RNA is filed under the name Basidiomycota sp. Its description in RNAcentral is "partial contains small subunit ribosomal RNA and internal transcribed spacer 1". The stretch from base 1 to 47 matches the Rfam family "Eukaryotic small subunit ribosomal RNA", at positions 1785 to 1831 of the family's 1831-position model. Lineage: Eukaryota; Fungi; Basidiomycota. The record is from RNAcentral.
AAAGUCGUAACAAGGUAUCCGUAGGUGAACCUGCGGAUGGAUCAUUAACGUGGCUCUGAAAGAUGUGUAGCAAUGCAUGUUCUUUUUCAGGCUAUAACAAAACAUACCCUUGUGGUUUAAUAGUAUAAACGUAUGUGUUUAGAGGAGGUUGGUGGAUGUGUUGAGAGGAUGUUUGUUAAGAAUGUACUCUCUCUGCCGCCAGCCUCAUUCUCUAUAAUAUAAACUUUAUUAACCUUUUCUUAAAUGUCUAAAGCAUUCUUGCGAUUUCUCUUUCGAGAGAACUACCAAGUAAAACAACGAGUAAUCUAAUACAACUGCUAGCAACGGAUCACUCGGCUCUC